ACCGGACGUCCGUACGCAAAUAACGUAUCGAUCAGACAGCGACGACGACGACGCGCCGGUUUUAAAUGGCCUGACCUUUCUUGCCGUGGUGACCGCGCAGUUAUUUACAAAUGAUAGAAGUAACCGUACACUACGCCGCUAUAUUAUCGUAUAAUAUUAUAAUACGUAUGCACGAGAAUUCGUAAUUUAAUAAUAAUAAUAAUAAUAAUAACAAUAGUCACGUUCAAAUGUCGCCCGGGAAGAAACCCGAAAUGACAAAGGAUGCUGCGAACGCCGUCCUUUGUAACGUUUAUUAGCGUGACAGGCGACAUCAGUAGCGCGUACCGCGCUCGACAAUAAUAAUAUAAUAAACGGUAUUAUUAUUAGAGGACGAGAGUCCUGUGUCUUGUCUAUUUUUUUUUUCAUUUUUAUCAG
This is a non-coding RNA of Cinara cedri, 414 nucleotides long. The record is from the annotation of a GenBank genome assembly. NCBI's taxonomy places the organism in Eukaryota, Metazoa, Arthropoda, Insecta, Hemiptera, Aphididae.